UACGUAGGGUGCGAGCGUUAAUCGGAAUUACUGGGCGUAAAGCGUGCGCAGGCGGCUUUGCAAGACAGAUGUGAAAUCCCCGGGCUCAACCUGGGAACUGCAUUUGUGACUGCAAGGCUAGAGUACGGCAGAGGGGGAUGGAAUUCCGCGUGUAGCAGUGAAAUGCGUAGAUAUGCAGAGGAACACCAAUGGCGAAGGCAAUCCCCUGGGCCUGUACUGACGCUCAUGCACGAAAGCGUGGGGAGCAAACAGG
Molecule: ribosomal RNA, 253 nt
Filed under: uncultured bacterium
Lineage: Bacteria
Description: partial 16S ribosomal RNA
Rfam family: Bacterial small subunit ribosomal RNA
Source: RNAcentral